Long non-coding RNA from Dalotia coriaria, 473 nucleotides. RefSeq lists it as uncharacterized. Lineage: Eukaryota; Metazoa; Arthropoda; Insecta; Coleoptera; Staphylinidae. The record is from RefSeq and is a predicted model, not a curated record. The transcript is spliced from 2 exons.
CGUGUUUUCACGCAUACUCACGUUCGCAGCGUAGUUUUCUGCCGGUCGGUGGUUAAGCCAGACGUGUUUUUCGCGGCUGUUUAUCAUUGUAUUUUGAGUUUGUAAUUUAGCAAAUCGCAUUUUUAUAUUGUCCAUCAACUGCAUUUUGCUAUUACGGGCGUGUCUAGUGUUUUAUUGCAAAAUCGUUAAUUUUUGUUGCCGUUCGGUGUGCGUAUUGCAAGAUGACCGCGUGCAAUCAACUGGUUUACACUGCACGUACACGAGAUACAUAUAGCAUGCAACGUCUCGCAACGUUUGUUGUGAUAUUAUGUGGACAAUGGAUUGGAACAAUGACAAACUUCUUCGUGAAAGCCAAGGAAGAACGCAAUUACUUUCGAGUUCUGAUGCCCGAGUCACGAGCUAAAUUAGAAUGCGAAUUUGAUUCGCUUCGUCGGUCGACUCCUGAUUUAAAAUAAAAUAAAUAUUGACACUUC